GACGAACGCUGGCGGCGUGCCUAAUACAUGCAAGUUGAGCGCUGAAGGUUGGUACUUGUACCGACUGGAUGAGCAGCGAACGGGUGAGUAACGCGUGGGGAAUCUGCCUUUGAGCGGGGGACAACAUUUGGAAACGAAUGCUAAUACCGCAUAAAAACUUUAAACACAAGUUUUAAGUUUGAAAGAUGCAAUUGCAUCACUCAAAGAUGAUCCCGCGUUGUAUUAGCUAGUUGGUGAGGUAAAGGCUCACCAAGGCGAUGAUACAUAGCCGACCUGAGAGGGUGAUCGGCCACAUUGGGACUGAGACACGGCCCAAACUCCUACGGGAGGCAGCAGUAGGGAAGCUUCGGCAAUGGACGAAAGUCUGACCGAGCAACGCCGCGUGAGUGAAGAAGGGUUUCGGAUCGUAAAACUCUGUUGGUAGAGAAGAACGUUGGUGAGAGUGGAAAGCUCAUCAAGUGACGGUAACUACACAGAAAGGGACGGCUAACUACGUG
Molecule: ribosomal RNA, 497 nt
Filed under: uncultured bacterium
Lineage: Bacteria
Description: partial 16S ribosomal RNA
Rfam family: Bacterial small subunit ribosomal RNA
Source: RNAcentral